This is an RNA transcript of Lagopus muta (rock ptarmigan), 6016 nucleotides long. It is a transcript of the gene named RAB11 binding and LisH domain, coiled-coil and HEAT repeat containing, with no coding region annotated. The transcript has 24 exons. The record is from RefSeq and is a predicted model, not a curated record. Lineage: Eukaryota; Metazoa; Chordata; Aves; Galliformes; Phasianidae.
AUGGCGGCGGCGGGCGGGGGCAGCAGCGUGAACCCUUUUCUCAGCGACUCGGAGGAGGACGAGCCUGAAGAAGCCAGGCCCGGCGGUGGCAGCAGCAGCAGUACCGAGCCGGGAGGGCCGGCGUACCCGGCCCGGCGGCGGGAGGAGGCGGCGGCCGCGGGCAGCCCCGAAGAGCUGCCGGGUUUGCGGGCGGCGGGCGAUGCGGCGGGGGCGGGCGGCGGGGCCGCCGCUGGGGAUCCGCCGCGGGUGUCGAUGGACGCGAUGGCGGCUCAGCUCCUGCGGGAUCAGUUCCUGCUGACGGCGCUGGAGCUGCACACGGAGCUGCUGGAGAGCGGCCGGGAGCUGCCCAGGCUGCGUGAUUUCUUCUCCAACCCGGGCAACUUCGAGAGGCAGAGCGGCACGCCGCCCGCCGGAGGGGGUCUGGGCGGCGGCGUGCUCGGCGGAGCCGGCGGCAGGGAGCCCGGCUCCGGGCAGCUCAAUCGCGCUGGAAGCAUCAGUACUCUUGAUUCCUUAGAUUUUGCAAGAUACUCCGACGACGGCAAUAGGGAAGCGGACGAAAGAGUGGCGGUCCUGGAGUUUGAACUACGGAAAGCCAAGGAGACCAUACAGGCCCUCCGAGCCAACCUGACUCAGGCUGCAGAAAAUGAAGUUCCUUUGCAGGAACGAAAAAAUUAUAAAUCAAGUCCUGAAAUUCAGGAGCCAAUCAGACCUCUUGAGAAAAGAGCUCUAAACUUCCUAGUUAAUGAAUUUUUAUUGAAGAAUAGUUACAAGCUUACAUCAAUAACAUUUUCAGAUGAAAACCAUGAUCAGGAUUUUGAAUUGUGGGAUGAUGUGGGAUUGAACAUUCCAAAACCUCCUGACCUUUUACAACUCUAUCGGGACUUUGGAAACCAUCAUGUUACCACAAGAGAUGUGGUGGAUGUAUCAGUUGGUGUAGAUGAUGAUGAGUUGGAGGCUGCCACCCCUAUACUUGGGACAGUUCCGGUAUUUGAAACAACACCACAAUCAAUAGAACAAUGUUUGAUAGUGCAGAAAUUAGAAGAUCAAAUUAGUGUUUUAAACAAUGAGAAAUGGUCUUUGAUGGAACAAAUCCAAAGACUUGAGAGUGAAAUAGAUUUCCUCAAGAAUGAAAACUUUGCCGUGUCUACAGUUUAUGGUGUAGCUCCCCAUCCUUCCUUAGAGCAAGUGCCUCACACAGUCUCAGAGGACAAUGGACGGUACUUGGAUAUCAAGAGCUCUGAGAAUGACAGUAAACAUGCAGACGCUGAGGAAAAAAGCCUUUCUUCAUCAGCUGAACAUGAUACAAGGACUUCAAAAGAUGAUACGCUAAAUUCUGUCCCCUGUAAAGACACAGAGAAAGUGUCCUCUUGUGCUCCAUCAGCUAAAACUGCAGUGCACUUUGAUAAACCGAAUAGGAAAUUGUCACCAGCUUUCCAUCAAGCACUACUGUCUUUCUGUCGAAUGUCAGCAGAUAGUCGUUUGGGAUCAGAGGUAUCUCGAAUUGCAGACAGUGAGAAAAGUGUCAUGCUAAUGUUGGGACGCUGCCUGCCUCAUAUUGUUCCUAAUGUGCUGCUUGCAAAGCGAGAGGAACUGAUCCCACUCAUACUGUGUACAGCCUGCCUUCAUCCUGAACCCAAAGAGAGAGAUCAGCUUCUACACAUACUGUUCAAUUUGAUCAAACGACCAGAUGAUGAGCAAAGGCAGAUGAUACUGACCGGCUGUGUGGCAUUUGCCCGACAUGUUGGACCAACGCGUGUAGAAGCUGAGCUUUUACCACAGUGUUGGGAACAGAUCAAUCACAAAUACCCAGAGAGACGGCUACUGGUAGCAGAAUCUUGUGGAGCACUAGCACCUUACCUUCCUAAAGAAAUUCGUAGUUCAUUGGUACUUUCCAUGCUGCAACAAAUGCUAAUGGAAGAUAAGGCAGAUCUGGUACGAGAAGCUGUGAUCAAAAGCCUUGGCAUCAUUAUGGGAUAUAUUGAUGAUCCAGACAAAUAUCAACAGGGCUUUGAACUGCUGCUUUCAGCUUUAGGAGACCCUUCAGAACGUGUAGUUAGUGCAACACAUCAAGUAUUUCUACCUGCUUAUGCUGCCUGGACAACAGAACUGGGGAACUUACAGUUCCAUCUUAUACCUACGCUGCUUAGUAAAAUUGAAAAACUGCUCAGGGAAGGAGAACACGGUUUGGAUGAACAUAAGCUCCACAUGUAUCUAUCUGCUUUGCAGUCACUGAUUCCAUCAUUAUUUGCAUUGGUGCUACAGAAUGCACCUUUCACAAGCAAGGCUAAACUUCAGGGAGAAGUACCACAAAUAGAAGUCACUAGAUUUCCCCGACCUGCAUCACCUCUUCAGGAUGUGGCUGUCAUCGUCGGAAGCCGUGAACAAUUGGCAGUACUGUUGCAACUUUACAACCAUCAGCUAGAACAUGAGGGGACCACAGGCUGGGAGACUUUGCUAUGGGUAGUCAAUCAACUGUUACCACAGCUUAUAGAAAUAGUUGGCAAAAUCAACGUAGCAUCAACUGCAUGUGUCCAUGAGUUCUCCAGAUUUUUCUGGCGACUUUGUAGGACAUUUGGGAAAAUUUUUACAAACACUAAGGUAAAACCACAGUUCCAGGAAAUACUAAGACUAUCUGAGGAAAACAUAGAUUCCGCAGCAGGUAACGGAGUGCUUACAAAAGCUACAGUUCCCAUCUAUGCAACAGGGGUCCUUACAUGUUAUAUUCAGGAAGAGGACCGCAAGCUGUUAGUUGGAUUCUUGGAAGAUGUCAUGACCAUGCUAUCGCUGUCCCACGCUCCUCUUGAUAGCCUGAAAGCUUCCUUUGUGGAACUGGGUGCAAACCCAGCUUAUCAUGAGUUGCUGUUAACUGUCUUAUGGUAUGGAGUUGUCCAUACUUCAGCUCUUGUUCGAUGCACAGCAGCUAGAAUGUUUGAGGUGAAUCUGCCAUGUCGUAUCCAUUUCUGAAAACAAAUCUCAAGUCUGCCUUGAGGACAGAAGUGCUUAAUGCUACCAUUACUCUUCUCUACUGCAACUCUGCUAGUCACUGCAGACAAAGCACUAAACAGUGACUUAAAAACUUACUGUGCGACUUCCCUUGAAAGUAUCCAACUCUGUCUUGUUUUUUUUCUCUUGUGAAAAGGAGAUGGCAAUUUUGGUCACCCAUAAAACAUUUCUUAGUUUGUUUACAAUACAAGCACAUGGCUUAUAUUUCAUAUUUGUAAAAAUGUUGUUUCCUUUUUUGUGUAAUCAUUAACUCAAUACACAAAAAACUUCAGUUAAUACAAGCUGUUAUCUUGGUUGUGGUUUAUUUUCCACUGCAAAUUGAUAAUUUUUGGGUAGCUCUGCAUGCUACUUGUUUGCUUUCUAAUGUAUUUCAGUUUUUACUAGUGCAUAGGCGACCUCACUGAAGACAUUUUUCUCACUGGAAAACUGAUUUACUAUGUUGCCACUUCAUAGCUGUAGUCUGUGCAUUUAUACAUGACAGUAUGUGAAUUUUGGAAGUCAACUAUAGAAAGCGAUGGUAGCAGUUCAUUUUAUUUUGGAGGAUUCCUUCAUGUGAGGAAUUUUGGAUGUCUCAGUGAUCACUCGCUGGCAAAACACAGCAAUUCUCUCAGAAGAUAGACAGUAAUGAUUGGAUAACAUAGAAGAGUGUGUCUUGAGCUGGACAGCUGUACUUGUACUGCAAAGUUUUAGACCAGUACAGUGAUCUGCAGCAGCUCAGGGACUGCUGUGAUUUAGGCCUGCCAAAUCAUUUUAUGAAACCCUUACCAGUCUGUUCCGGAGUAAAAGAACAUGAGUGAUUUAUAGCCAAUGUAUUUUUGCUUGCCCCUGGGGACAGGAAGCUCUGUGCUAUAGUUUUUAAGGUGUGGUAUAUAUGAAGUAAUGAACAUGCAUUCCUUGGUAAGAAUCAAAAGAGGAUCAAACUUUGUGUUGUCUGUCUCACUGUAGCCUUAAAUGCAACGUGGCUUUGCCCAUCCAGCUGUUUCCUUUGUGCCUGUGCAUUAAUGUUUUCUGUCAGUAGUUUCCCAUUUGAAUGUUGAUGCAAACAGAUUUGACUGCUGCUGGUUUGAACAGUGAAGCGUGUAGCUGAGUUACAAGCAUUGUUGGUCUGUUCAAGGUUAGGAACUCUUUUCUUCAGAAUGACUCUUAAAUGAUUAUACGUGCUUUUACUUUCUUUAAGACAGAAUGAUGCUAUUUACCAUGCUUUACCAUGAUUAGCAGCCCAUAUAGUUGUGGAGCUGAGAUCACUCUAAGUUGUUUGCUAAUUACACAAAUUCUAAGAAUUCCAGCCUCCAGACUUUUCUCAAAACAAAGAUUGGUAAAGAAAACUCAUAUCCCUGUUUGUCCCCAGUUAAAAACAAUAAACAUUGUCUAGUUUAGUCAGUGGGAAAACUGUAUGGGAGUAAAUUUGUUAUGGCUGAACAGAGUGCUACGACCUUAGCAUCAAUCUGAGCAUGAAUACAUCAGCCUUAUGUUGAUGCAUCCAACCAGUGCAUCAACCUUAAGGUGAAUAGGUCAACACUUUAUAAGUUGCUGCUACUGUAAAUAAUUAUGGAAUGCAUUAAUAUUAAAAUGUAGUAGAGUAGCUGACGUUGCUAGUACUUUGUGAGUUAUGAGCGUAGGAAGUUGCAGCUUUCUACUUCUGAGAUUUUGCAGCAGUAAUGCUUACGCAGCUUAACAUUUCUCACCCCUGUGCUUCCUUGUCCAGUCAUUACCUGUGAGACCAUGAUACGGUCACAGCAUCUGGGUACAUAGGCACACACACGUGCACACUCAAAUGUUGCUUAGUAGAUAUCACUGUUUUAUAUAGAAAGUCUUCUGGAAAGUCAGACUCCUUGCAGUCUUUCAUAAUGUUCAUGUUUUAAAUUCAGUCAGUAAAAUUGGAAUGCUCAAACAAAUAGCAUAAUGUAAAACUCUAGUUAGAAUGUAACUAGUGCUUGGUUUUAGCACUGCGUGAUACAGUAAGAGAUGCUGCUUUCCCUAUGCUUUCCAUUUUAACUAAUGCAGAUUUUAAAAAUGACAAUAAAAAGCAACAACCCGCACCUGUUUUGCUGAAGUGGGAAGUUUAGAAUUUGCCAUUUUCUAAAAAUUAAGUUUAUAUUAUUGUGUAGAAAGGGUAUCUGUUUCACAUGUAGUUAUACAUACAUAAAGACACAAGCAGUGCAGUUCUAAACGUAAUCAGUUUCCACGUAUCUGUGGGUAAUGACAUAAAUUUCAAUGUGAUCUCAGUUUCUAAUACAAUGGAUAAGUCAGGUGUUGUCCAUUUUCUACCUGCGUAGACCAGCAAUUGUAACUUGAGUUGUUACAAUAUAGACUGCUUGGGUGGCCAUUAAAUCUAAAAUAAUUCACAGUGACUUUGAGGAAAGCUUAGUGGCCUCUGGGGAAGUACUUUUUGUCAUUUUAUGAUGUCUGAAAGGUGUCACUCAGUGCUGGAAAAACACAUGUAUUUGGCCUGACUAAAGAAAUCUACCUUUGCACGUGACAGUCUUCAUGUACAAUAACAUAUGCCAUUGCACUGAGGUAUAGCAUCAUUUAGACCAGACUGUCAAACUCUAAUUGGCAUCAUUUUAGUAUUUUAACAGGUUUGAAUUAUACCACCUAAAUUACUUGCUAAUCUUUCUAUAUUUUGAGUUACAAAAUAGCUGAAGGCAGAGCAAACAACACUGUGUCAUUAAAUUCGUCAGGUUUGUGCUGAUGGCCAGACCACUUCAGCUUUCUUCAUGCCUUUGCAUAUAUGAAGCACUAGUGUAGCAGUAUUUGCUUAGCUUCUAAUUUUGGUUUGCUUUUUGUGUUUUUUCUUUCUCUCUCUUGGUUGUGCCGUUCUUCUUCCCAUGAUACUGUGCUCGCUCUUUCCGUGCAUCACCUGUGAUACCCCCCUGCUCCGACCAUUCAGCUGUUGGUGAAGGGGGUACAUGAAACUCUGGUAGCUCAGAGAGUUGUUCCUGCUCUCAUUACUCUCUCCAGUGACCCUGAAAUUUCAGUGAGGAUUGCAACAAUUCCUGCUUUUGGGACCAUC